UUAGUACUCACUCCGUCCGAAAUUACUUGUCGCAUAAAUGGAUGAAAACGGAUGUAUCUAGAAUUAAAAUACAUCUAGAUACAAUCAUUUCCCCACAAGUAUUUUUGGACGAAGAGAGUAGGAA
Triticum aestivum (bread wheat) is the source of this 124-nucleotide non-coding RNA. The record is from Rfam. NCBI's taxonomy places the organism in Eukaryota, Viridiplantae, Streptophyta, Magnoliopsida, Poales, Poaceae.